GUUGGUGGUGUGAAUUGUCUGGUUAAUUCCGUUAACGAGCGAGACCUUCACUGUUAAAUAGUAACGUCAAGAUAUUGUAUCAAGGCUAGCAGGCUUUACUUUGAGAAGGGUCCGUCCCCUCAUUGUAAUUGUUCGGUUAGUUGCACUUCUUGAUGGAUUUACUUCUUAGCGGGACUUUGCGUGACAAGCGCAAGGAAGUUGAAGGCUAAAACAGGU
RNAcentral lists this ribosomal RNA (216 nucleotides) under uncultured eukaryote. RNAcentral describes it as "partial small subunit ribosomal RNA". It matches the Rfam family "Eukaryotic small subunit ribosomal RNA", at positions 1297 to 1461 of the family's 1831-position model. The record is from RNAcentral.